GCGUGCUUAACACAUGCAAGUCGAACGAUGAAGCCCAGCUUGCUGGGUGGAUUAGUGGCGAACGGGUGAGUAACACGUGAGUAACCUGCCCUUAACUCUGGGAUAAGCCUGGGAAACUGGGUCUAAUACCGGAUAGGAGCGCCCACCGCAUGGUGGGUGUUGGAAAGAUUUAUCGGUUUUGGAUGGACUCGCGGCCUAUCAGCUUGUUGGUGAGGUAAUGGCUCACCAAGGCGACGACGGGUAGCCGGCCUGAGAGGGUGACCGGCCACACUGGGACUGAGACACGGCCCAGACUCCUACGGGAGGCAGCAGUGGGGAAUAUUGCACAAUGGGCGCAAGCCUGAUGCAGCGACGCCGCGUGAGGGAUGACGGCCUUCGGGUUGUAAACCUCUUUCAGUAGGGAAGAAGCGAAAGUGACGGUACCUGCAGAAGAAGCACCGGCUAACUAC
RNAcentral lists this ribosomal RNA (449 nucleotides) under rape rhizosphere bacterium m9001. Its description in RNAcentral is "bacterial SSU rRNA". It matches the Rfam family "Bacterial small subunit ribosomal RNA", at positions 42 to 504 of the family's 1533-position model. The record is from RNAcentral.